UGAUCUCUGGAGAGUCCUCGUGGUAGAGGCGCCGAAGGUGUAAGGCUGUGUUGCAGAAGAGUACACACGAUGCAAAAGCAGCUGAUCUCUCAGGCAAAAGGACAGAGCA
RNAcentral lists this non-coding RNA (109 nucleotides) under uncultured Eubacterium sp. Its description in RNAcentral is "Glycine riboswitch". It matches the Rfam family "Glycine riboswitch aptamer", at positions 9 to 86 of the family's 94-position model. From Rfam's summary of the family: This family represents the bacterial glycine riboswitch. Glycine riboswitches usually consist of two metabolite-binding aptamers domains with similar structures in tandem. The record is from RNAcentral. Lineage: Bacteria; Bacillati; Bacillota; Clostridia; Eubacteriales; Eubacteriaceae.